Molecule: ribosomal RNA, 440 nt
Filed under: uncultured bacterium
Lineage: Bacteria
Description: partial 16S ribosomal RNA
Rfam family: Bacterial small subunit ribosomal RNA
Source: RNAcentral
CCUACGGGAGGCAGCAGUGGGGAAUCUUGCACAAUGGGGGAAACCCUGAUGUAGCGACGCCGCGUGAGUGAAGAAGUAAUUCGUUAUGUAAAGCUCUAUCAGCAGGGAAGAAAAUGACGGUACCUGAGUAAGAAGCCCCGGCUAACUACGUGCCAGCAGCCGCAUUAAUCCGUAGGGGGCAAGCGUUAUCCGGCUUUACUGGGUGUAAAGGGAGCGUAGACGGCAGUGCAGGUCUGGAGUGAAAGGCGGGGGCGCAACCCCCGGACUGCUCUGGAAACUGUACGGCUGGAGUGCAGGAGAGGUAAGUGGAAUUCAUAGUGUAGCGGUGGAAUGCGUAGAUAUUAGGAGGAACACCAGUGGCGAAGGCGGCUUACUGGACUGUAACUGACGUUGAGGCUCGAAAGCGUGGGGAGCAAACAGGAUUAGAUACCCUAGUAGUC